CCUACGGGAGGCAGCAGUGAGGAAUAUUGGUCAAUGGACGAGAGUCUGAACCAGCCAAGCCGCGUGAAGGAUGACUGCCCUAUGGGUUGUAAACUUCUUUUAUAUGGGAAUAAAACAGGGUAUGCAUACCCUCUUGUAUGUACCAUACGAAUAAGGAUCGGCUAACUCCGUGCCAGCAGCCGCGGUAAUACGGAGGAUCCGAGCGUUAUCCGGAUUUAUUGGGUUUAAAGGGAGCGUAGGUGGAUUGUUAAGUUAGUUGUGAAAGUUUGCGGCUCAACCGGAAAAUUGCAGUUGAUACUGGCAGUCUUGAGUACAGUAGAGGUGGGCGGAAUUCAUGGUGUAGCGGUGAAAUGCUUAGAUAUCACGAAGAACUCCGAUUGCGAAGGCAGCUCACUGGACUGCAACUGACACUGAUGCUCGAAAGUGUGGGUAGCAAACAGGAUUAGAUACCCGGGUAGUC
This 460-nucleotide ribosomal RNA is filed under the name uncultured bacterium. RNAcentral's name for it is "partial 16S ribosomal RNA". It matches the Rfam family "Bacterial small subunit ribosomal RNA", at positions 338 to 795 of the family's 1533-position model. The record is from RNAcentral.